UCGCUCCCAAUGGGUUGAAUGAAUGGUAAAAAUCACUGUUUAGGUAAAAAUUCUCUGUAAAGGAUUUAUCCUCUGUUAGGUAAAAAAUCCUCUGUAAAGUUUUGAUAAAUGGGAAAAAGGAUUUGUGAGGCUAGUCUUAAACUGUAGUGAAUCUGGUGUGCUGUGUGUGUCUUUCUGUAUUGUUCUGUCAUAAAAGAGGGGUACUCUAAGAUACAGUGCGAGCCUAGGACUCCCAUAAAACCACUGUUCAAGAAGGCGCAACAAACUGGUCAGUUAAAAACUUUGCUGCACAUCCCUGAAAAAAGAAAAAAGAACUGGAUGACAUUUCCCUAUUGUCUUGAUACAACUGGAGAAACUGGUUAUUUUACCAAGGCUUUGACUGGAAUGGUGUGUUUACCUUUAAGGAAUCAAACUUGACUUAGAGAGCCAAGAAGAGCCCCUUGAAAAAAACUAGCCUCAUACCUUGUCUACACAGUCCCUGUACAGGGUUCCUGACCUGUGGCCAACCCUGUUUAUUCCUGUGAACCAACCAGUGAUCUCUUGACUGCUGCUCAGAAGAAACAACAGGGAUGGAUAUCAUCUUUUGUCAGAACUCGGAGUCAUGAACGGCCCUUGCCAUACCAAUGCUUUCUGACUGAGCUCCUCUCUAUCUACCCUGAAUGCAAGAGACCCAAUAGUUAGGCAGGAAUGGCAUUGCCCCUAUCAGCUUGAAGAAGUUACAGAAGAUGCAUCUUUAUCCCUCUGCAACCCUUAGGAUUAAGGGUUUUCUUAUAAAAGGGACGGGGGAAAUGUUAGAGGUGUUUGAACCAGAGCAACUCCAUCUUGAAUAGGGGCUGGGUAAAAUGAGGCUGAGACCUAUUGGGCUGCAUUCCCAGACGGUUAAGGCAUUCUGUGUCACAGGAUGAGUUAGGAGGUCAGCACAAGAUACAGGUCAUAAAGAUCUUGCUGAUAAACAGGAUGCAGUAAAGAAG
RNAcentral lists this long non-coding RNA (971 nucleotides) under Homo sapiens (human). Its description in RNAcentral is "HSALNT0311899". Lineage: Eukaryota; Metazoa; Chordata; Mammalia; Primates; Hominidae. The record is from RNAcentral.